UUCAAUAUCAUGAUGUGCAGCUCUGUUA
This 28-nucleotide non-coding RNA is filed under the name Rattus norvegicus (Norway rat). Lineage: Eukaryota; Metazoa; Chordata; Mammalia; Rodentia; Muridae. The record is from RNAcentral.